CCAAAGCCAACCGACGUGGAAGCAGUUCUCUCUUUCAGGAGAAAAAGUUUGGAACAAAUAGUCUGUCAGACAGUAUCAACUAGGUUGAACAUAUUUGAAUGCCGCAAAGAAGAGACAACAUCCACGCAUUGAAGUAGCCUACACAGUGCAUGAAUGCACUAAAGUCUGAGUGUGUUCGUGGGGGCGGAGCCAAGGGUUAAGGGAGGAGCCAUGUGUUAGGGGAGGAGAGGACGUCAUAUUGAAGAAACGAAACUUAACGUUCAAAACCAAAGCAGAGCCCGUCUACGAAUAUUAGACAUUCUCUGACCAAAGCAACCGACGUCGAAGCUGUAAAAUAAAUCUCAUUUUGGAACAAAAAGUCUGACAGUAAGAAAAAGGAAUGGCCUGUGCUAACACUUCCUGGUCUCAAGAGAACUUUUCAUGUUG
Molecule: long non-coding RNA, 426 nt
Organism: Gadus morhua (Atlantic cod)
Lineage: Eukaryota; Metazoa; Chordata; Actinopteri; Gadiformes; Gadidae
Exons: 3
Source: RefSeq, a predicted model, not a curated record